Chenopodium quinoa (quinoa) is the source of this 1822-nucleotide long non-coding RNA. RefSeq lists it as uncharacterized. The record is from RefSeq and is a predicted model, not a curated record. NCBI's taxonomy places the organism in Eukaryota, Viridiplantae, Streptophyta, Magnoliopsida, Caryophyllales, Amaranthaceae. The transcript has 2 exons.
AUUUCAACCAAAUUAGAACAACACAAAUUCUAGAAAAUUAAGAUCAAAACAUUUUUUUUCAGGUGAAAAUUCAAAGUUUUAUAUGAAAUACAUGUUACACUUGUAUAAUAAUAAUAAUGCAUAUGGCUAGUCGUGUAGCUCAUGUACAAGACACAACCAACAACAUAUUAUACAUCAGUUUUAUAAUUAAGCGCAAAUACUACGCACCUUAGGUGACUUGUAUAAGUGGUAUGUGCAACAACCAACGACACCAAUCUCAUAACCACAUAUUUGAUGAGUACAACACAUAUUAGUGAGGUCUAUCUUGUUAUUAGCCUUAUUACUCCUUCAUUCACUCAAUUGCCCCCAUUUUCCACGCAUAAAAACUCACACCCCUCCAAAACACUCAUUAUAAACCCUUCAACCUUAACCCUUUUUUUUUUUUACCACAAAUAUAAAUUAAACCCACCUCAACUCUUCCUCUCUUCUUACUUCAUUCCUCCAAAACUCACAAAAAAACAACCAAAAUCUUCCUUCUAAUUUUCUCUCUUUCUACCAAAAAUGGAAACUUCAUCAAACAUUACAACUCUUCAACAUUUCAAUAACCCUACUACUACUACUACACUCCUCUCAACCUCCUCCUCCUCAUCGAUAACCCUCUCUCGAUACGAGAACCAAAAGCGGCGAGACUGGACCACCUUCGGACAGUACCUGAAGAACCACCGGCCUCCCCUGGCGCUGAACCGAUGUAGCGGGGCCCACGUAUUGGAGUUUCUACGGUACUUGGAUCAGUUCGGCGAAACUAAGGUGCACAAUCAUAUGUGUCCGUUUUACGGUCACCCUAAUCCUCCUGCCCCCUGCCCGUGCCCGUUGCGUCAAGCGUGGGGAUCGCUUGACGCUUUGAUCGGACGGCUCAGAGCUGCUUACGAGGAAAACGGGGGUAAGCCCGAGAUGAACCCGUUUGGGGCCCGCGCUGUACGGCUUUACUUAAGGAAGUUAGGGAUUCUCAGUCUAAGGCCAGAGGUAUUAGCUAUGAAAAGAAGAAGCGUAAGCGGGUCCCACAACUAAUUCAAAAUACGGAGUAAUACAACAGCAAAUUAACAUAUAUUUGAAUGAUGUUUGCUCCGGUCGCGAUCUCAAAGUUACAUAUUGCAAACAGGGUGAUCGAUUAUGUUAAGAGCAGAAGGCCCGGGAAGUGGUAUGGGGUGGAUAAGUGACUUAUUAGGGUUAGGUUAUUAUCAAUGGACAUAAGGAGUUAUUUGAAUGAACAAUCCAAUGUUUGAUUUAUGGCAAUUGUAAUUGUAUCUUCAUCUAAUAUAUCUAAUUAACUAGUUAGAGAUCUUUUUAAUAAAAUUGAAUGGUUGCUUGUUGUUUUAAUUAAUCAAAAUUAAAAAUCAAUUGGAAUAAUUAAACUGACAUAUUUGUGUGAUAGAAGAAUUUGAAAUUCAUGGUAAAAAGUGACAAGACAAGUUGGGUAAAAUGAGGAAAGUUAAGAAAGAAAAGAAUAGAUGGAUACAUCCGUAAGUUUGUCAGUAACAAAGUACUGCUCGUAGAACAACAGCAGCAGAAUUGAAGGGUAAUCCAUUUUUUGGUUUUUCUUUUUAUUUUCCCCCUUCAUUUCUGCAAGUAUGUCUACCUUUGCAAUUUUUUUGUCAUCAUUUCUUUUUGAUUUGAUGAUCUAAAUUGUGUUGGCUUGAUGGGUAAUUUAGGCAAUAUUGUCUUCGUUUUUGCAUUUAUUAAGGUUUGGUCUGAUCUAAUCUGGCUUGAAUUAAUUUGAUUUGAUCCGAAGUUAAUUGGUGUAAUUUUAACCAUAAAUAAACAAAGAAUUGGUCCGUUUGAUUGU